CGUGUAGGCGGGUCGACAAGUUGGAUGUGAAAUGCACCGGCUCAACUGGUGCGCUGCAACCAAAACUGCCGAUCUUGAGUGUUGGAGAGGAUAGUGGAAUUCCUAGUGUAGCGGUAAAAUGCGUAGAUAUUAGGAGGAACACCAGUGGCGAAGGCGGCUAUCUGGACAACAACUGACGCUGAGGCGCGAAAGCGUGGGGAGCAAACA
This 207-nucleotide ribosomal RNA is filed under the name uncultured bacterium. RNAcentral's name for it is "partial 16S ribosomal RNA". It matches the Rfam family "Bacterial small subunit ribosomal RNA", at positions 568 to 774 of the family's 1533-position model. The record is from RNAcentral.